AGCACUUGACAUACACCGAACUUGUCAGAGAUGUCUUGGUGCCGGUUCGGUGGAACGUUGAUAC
RNAcentral lists this ribosomal RNA (64 nucleotides) under uncultured bacterium. RNAcentral describes it as "partial 16S ribosomal RNA". The record is from RNAcentral.